GUCCGCAACGAGCGCAACCCUUGUCAUUAGUUGCUACAUUCAGUUGGGCACUCUAAUGAGACUGCCGGUGACAAGCCGGAGGAAGGUGGGGAUGACGUCAAGUCCUCAUGGCCCUUAUAGGUGGGGCUACACACGUCAUACAAUGGCUGGUACAAAGGGUUGCCAACCCGCGAGGGGGGAGCUAACCCCAUAAAGCCAGUCGUAGUCCGGAUCGUAGUCUGCAACUCGACUACGUGAAGUCGGAAUCGCUAGUAAUCGUGGAUCAGAAUGUCACGGUGAAUACGUUCCCGGGCCUU
This 296-nucleotide ribosomal RNA is filed under the name uncultured Rhodoferax sp. RNAcentral's name for it is "partial 16S ribosomal RNA". It matches the Rfam family "Bacterial small subunit ribosomal RNA", at positions 1085 to 1382 of the family's 1533-position model. Lineage: Bacteria; Pseudomonadati; Pseudomonadota; Betaproteobacteria; Burkholderiales; Comamonadaceae. The record is from RNAcentral.